Molecule: long non-coding RNA, 3785 nt
Organism: Anguilla rostrata (American eel)
Lineage: Eukaryota; Metazoa; Chordata; Actinopteri; Anguilliformes; Anguillidae
Exons: 2
Source: RefSeq, a predicted model, not a curated record
GGAAUAUCUCCGUGCGUGAGCGACUGUGUCCACCCAACAUUGAACAGCUGUUUUGUUGAGGCCCUUUCCCCGCCCCACAGAAUUCCCUAAAUUAUUUGUUACCGUUGUUUACAUACACCCCAAGGCGGACGCCAAAUUUGUGGCUGACACCAUUUUGAAAGUGACUCAGAAACUGCAACCCAUCUCUCCGGAAGCCCCGAACGUUAUAAUGAGAGAUUUUCAAUCUUUGUCAUUUAAAGGAAUCGUUGAACAGGUUCUAUCAAUAUGUCACCUGCUUCACGCAUUACAACAAAACUCUGGACCUCUGCUAUGGUUCCAUUAAAGGGGCGUAUAAGUCUAUCACUGGAACCACUCGUGGAUCAUCUGACCAUAACCAUAACCUUCUGCCCAUACAUAAGACCGUUUUGCAGAGGAAGAAGGUGCACAAACGACAAGUUAAGGUUUAGUAGACAGUAGACUGUACCAUGGUCUUGCAGGGCUGCUGUGAUCGCACAGACUUGGCAGUGUUCCAAGACUUUACGGAUGAUUUAGAUGGUCUUACCGAUGUUGUGUACAGCUGUGUUUCCUUUUGCAAGGACUGUGCGAUCCCUACCAGAGAAGUAAUGGUUUUUCUGAAAAACAAACUGUGGAUUUCGAAACCUCCGAAAGGACUUGUAUGUGAAAGGAAAGCUGCUUUUACGGUCGGCUAUGUAGAAGCAGAGAGGGAAUCUGCAGUAAGAAGGAAGCGAGGUCUGAAAUUAAAAAGUCUAAGCUGAGUUACAAGAAUAAGAUUGAGGCUGAGCUCAGCAGUAAUAAUCUAAAAACUGCCUGGAAUGAAAUGAGAAUGAUGACAAGCUCACAUGAUAUGGGCAAUAGGGGUAUCAGUCUUGAUGGUUUUAAUUCAAACACACAACUGGCUGAAGAAAUAUGGUUUUUAUCUGAGGUUUGAUGAUCAUGGUUUUACAACACAAUUAAGGCAUAGGACGAAGGCCAGGUUACUUAAGGCUUAUCCUGAGGAACUCUGUAACAUCGUUCAUUUUAUUUUUAUGCAAUCUCUUCAGCUGCAGAAGGUACCUAAACUUCACUAUGUUUCCUCUAGCCAAAAGUAAAAUGCCCAUGGUUUUAAAUGAUUUUAGGCCAGUAGCUCUUAUUUCUUUAAAGGAUGCUUUGGAAAGUUAAUUAAGAAAAAUAAAUUUUGCAGCAGGUGGAGACAUUACUAGAGCCCUUGUGGUUUGCAUACAGGGCGAGCAGAGGUGUGGAGGAUGCCAGCCUUAUCUUACUUAACUUUCUAUACAAGCGUCUUAAGGGCCCUAAGACUCACGCCAGGCUUUUAUUCACAGAUUUCUUUUUUGGCUUUUAACACUAUCCAGCCACAUCUCCUAGCAGAGAAACUGCUUUCUCAUUUUUUCAUUGAUCUUCACAUUAUUGGCUGUUUGUUAGACUUUUUUAGCUGGUUAGGUGUCAGUGUGGGAGAGUAACCGUGAGAGAUGCCCUCCAGUGGCAGAUGAAGCCCUCACGACCUGCACAGCCAGGUCUGUGGGCCUGCGCUCGGCUCGUAAUGAAGAGAACCGAAAGAUUUCCACGGCCUUCUGGGACGUGUUGUUUUCUUGCGCGGUUUGUGACUCACUCCUGGCCGUGCGGGUCGAUGUCGUGUGCAGGUCGGUUAUGAAAGCUCUCUGCUUCCUGCUGCGUCGGCGUUCCGCUGGUUAUUACAGACCCGAGAGCGCUUAUGGCCCGUCAGGGCUCUCUGCAGGCGUGGAAGUGAUCUCACUUCUGCAUCACUUUCGAAACAAACGAUUUUUUCCGUUAUGCAGAACCUCGGUGCACGGAAAUCUGAAGAGACAGGCUAGGCUGUCUGACCUUUCUCACUGAUUUUUUGUUUUUGUUUUUUCAUUUUAAUCCUUAGUUUUAUGCCUGAUCAUUGUCCUGAUUGGUUGAUUUCUGUACUGAUUUUCUACUGUCUGCUGUCUACCUUAUGGAAAUGGAGUACACUCCCAUGAAAUAAUAAAUAUAUUUCACAAAUGAUAAAUAUACAGUAUCAAAGAAAAAUAAUGGCAGUUAUGUCUAUAUUUAACCAUAUAUUUUGGGAAGUGUUGCAUUACUGUAUGUCAUUUUAUAUUGAUAAUUUAUUUCUUUAUAUUUUGUGUAGCUGUGUGUGCCAUUUCUCACACAGGGUCUCAGUGAUCCCCUCAGAAUGCAGGCCAAGGAAUUUCCCAGGGUGCUUUGCGCUUGUGCUGUCCGCAUGCUAAUGUGUGUCACAACCAUAAUUACAGCCUCUGAAUCACAACGAGCUGCCAAUUGUUUUGUUUUUUUUUCAUUAGAGACUUGUAACGUCUACCGAAGAACGAUUUACCCACUUAGGACCACAUUAUGUCAUGAACAGCUAUCCACACCAAUUAAGAAUAAAUAUCAUAUAUUCACAUCCCAAGGACAUUGAAUCGGUCAGAAGGAAUAAUGAUUUUGUGUGCUGCAUGGCAAAGAGUUUUGUUAGAAAGAGAUUCCAUGUUUAAAAUUUUUCAAAGACAGGUGAAACGAAAGUAUCAUGGAAAAUGGAGGCAGGGGUUUUUGACAAGGUUGAAAAACAGUACAAGCAGCGGUGAGCUAAACCUCCAUUGUGUUGAAACUUGAACUUUAGGAUUACUGUGAGCCAUUUUCCGUCACAGCUGUCUGUAGAGCUGUGGGUGUGCACCUGCCACACCCUCAUGGGGUUGUGAGGUAAUCAUUACAUUACAUUAUUACAUUACAGGCAUUUGGCAGACGCUCUUAUCCAGAGCGACGUACAACAAAGUGUAUAACCAUAACCAGGAACAAGUAUGACGAAACCCCUAGAGAGAAGUACCGGUCCAAGUGCAGGGAACAACCGCAUAGUUCAACUUGGACCCUGAAGGUUAAACUGAUUAACACUAACACAACGAGAACGGCAACAACGCCAUCUAUGGAAAAAAUACAAGCAGUAGUUAAGACAGUUAAUGCACCUAAGUCACCUACGAAACAGCUGCCUAGUUAUAACCCUAAGCUUACAGUCAUUUACAGGGGGGUAGGGAGGGAUGGGGAGAGGUGCAGCCUGAAGAGGUGAGUCUUCAGUCGUCGUUUGAAAUGGGUCAGUGUCUCAGCUGUUCUGACCUCCUCAGGGAGUGGAAUUGGAUUUUAAAAAAACAAGGAGGUGUGAUGGAAAGGUGAAUGAGAGGGUGUUCACCUAAUUCCUGGUAAUUACAUUAAAGAAGGUCUAGAAAUGUCCUUAAAACUAGGUUUAAAAUCUCCCUGACUAUUUAAAGCUAUUUAUACUUUGUCUCUGUGCAAAGUGGACUAAAGGCAAAGGUGAGGGGGAAGGGCUCAUUCCAAUCACUUGUUGUAUCCAUCCUCGUCUCCUCGGCCCUCAACUGACCCAGAAAUCAGUCAAGCCGCCAUCUUUGAUGACAGAGCUAGGAUGCUUGAGCGAGCAUACACGAGUGCAUACUUUGUGAAAGUUUUUUUUUUUUUUUUGGGAACGACUGAUGGGUAUAAAUGAUCGACCUGUGGAUCCACAUCUGCCACAUAUGCCACAUCCGUAAUUGACGUGGCUUCAAACUGACAAUUGGCUGAAUAAGAACGUUCCAUUUCCUUGAUUUAUCCUCCAAUUGGUGCAGCUAGGAGCAUGGAAAGGACACAAGGAUAGGAUGCAAGGAGAUAAAACGAGCGGUUGGAAUGAGCCCAGAGACUGACGUGGUGCGGUCGAAGUUAGGGAGAUUGGGAGAGAGACAGUUGAGGCAUCUAAUGAAAGAAGUUUUAGUGUUUUCCUGUGCUUUCUACCGCAGUUGGGGGGGGGG